This 275-nucleotide ribosomal RNA is filed under the name uncultured bacterium. Its description in RNAcentral is "partial 16S ribosomal RNA". It matches the Rfam family "Bacterial small subunit ribosomal RNA", at positions 338 to 630 of the family's 1533-position model. The record is from RNAcentral.
CCUACGGGAGGCUGCAGUGGGGAAUAUUGGACAAUGGGGGAAACCCUGAUCCAGCCAUGCCGCGUGAGUGAUGAAGGCUUUAGGGUUGUAAAGCUCUUUCGCCGAUGAAGAUAUUGACGGUAGUCGGAGAAGAAGCCCCGGCUAACUUCGUGCCAGCAGCCGCGGUAAUACGAAGGGGGCUAGCGUUGUUCGGAAUUACUGGGCGUAAAGCGAGCGUAGGUUGUGUCGCAAGUCAGUGGUGAAAUCCCGGAGCUUAACUUCGGAACUGCCAUUGA